Molecule: non-coding RNA, 527 nt
Organism: Prunus mume (Japanese apricot)
Lineage: Eukaryota; Viridiplantae; Streptophyta; Magnoliopsida; Rosales; Rosaceae
Source: RefSeq, a predicted model, not a curated record
UUUCGCCCCAAAAAGGCUUAUUUUGCCAUUGCCAGAAUCUUGAGAAUAAUCCUGAUGCAGCUUCCAUGUUUAUUUUCCUACUUGCGUCAGCUCGAGCCUUGGCUUGAGCAGGGGUUUCUUCUUCUUCAACAGUCGACGCACGUGCUGCAAUGCAAUAUUGAUAUGAUAUAUAUGGCAACAAACAAUAUUGAUGAGGUCUUUCCCAGCCUCCUCCGAAUAUCCCAAACCCUUCCUUUGGCUGAGACUGAAUCAGGAAUUCAAGCACCGGCAGUUCUUCUUUCUCCACCCAAUGAAUGCAGUUCACAGGGCAUGAAUCGACUGAUACCUGUAAUACCCACGCCAGUUUAACACCACAUUCUAAUUCAUGAAGUAAUUAAUACAUUAUAUAUGUUCUUCUUUAUACAAGUGAUGUCGGGUGAGGGGAUUCGAACACAAAAUGUCAUAUGCAAGGGUAAUUGCUCUUAACUACUUGAGCUACAACCACCUUGCAUACAUUAUUUACCUCAAUCUUUUGUUCAUCGUCACCA